RNAcentral lists this ribosomal RNA (503 nucleotides) under uncultured bacterium. RNAcentral's name for it is "partial 16S ribosomal RNA". It matches the Rfam family "Bacterial small subunit ribosomal RNA", at positions 30 to 523 of the family's 1533-position model. The record is from RNAcentral.
AUUGAACGCUGGCGGCAGGCUUAACACAUGCAAGUCGAGCGGGGUGAUGGUGCUUGCACUAUCACUUAGCGGCGGACGGGUGAGUAAUGCUUAGGAAUCUGCCUAUUAGUGGGGGACAACAUCUCGAAAGGGAUGCUAAUACCGCAUACGUCCUACGGGAGAAAGCAGGGGAUCACUUGUGACCUUGCGCUAAUAGAUGAGCCUAAGUCGGAUUAGCUAGUUGGUGGGGUAAAGGCCUACCAAGGCGACGAUCUGUAGCGGGUCUGAGAGGAUGAUCCGCCACACGGGGACGGAGACACGGACCAGACUCCUCCGGGAGGCAGCAGUGGGGAAUAUUGGACAAUGGGGGGAACCCUGAUCCAGCCAUGCCGCGUGUGUGAAGAAGGCCUUAUGGUUGUAAAGCACUUUAAGCGAGGAGGAGGCUCUUUUGGUUAAUACCCAAGAUGAGUGGACGUUACUCGCAGAAUAAGCACCGGCUAACUCUGUGCCAGCCGCCGCCGUAA